UACGGAGGAUGCAAGCGUUAUCCGGAAUGAUUGGGCGUAAAGCGUCCGCAGGUGGCCAUGUAAGUCUGCUGUUAAAGAGUCUAGCUCAACUAGAUAAAAGCAGUGGAAACUACAUAGCUAGAGUACGUUCGGGGCAGAGGGAAUUCCUGGUGUAGCGGUGAAAUGCGUAGAGAUCAGGAAGAACACCAGUGGCGAAGGCGCUCUGCUAGGCCGUAACUGACACUGAGGGACGAAAGCUAGGGGAGCGAACGGG
RNAcentral lists this ribosomal RNA (253 nucleotides) under uncultured bacterium. RNAcentral describes it as "partial 16S ribosomal RNA". It matches the Rfam family "Bacterial small subunit ribosomal RNA", at positions 524 to 776 of the family's 1533-position model. The record is from RNAcentral.